RNAcentral lists this long non-coding RNA (740 nucleotides) under Homo sapiens (human). Its description in RNAcentral is "HSALNT0260987". The record is from RNAcentral. Lineage: Eukaryota; Metazoa; Chordata; Mammalia; Primates; Hominidae.
AACCUACGACUCUCUAAGCGACCUGAACCGCCGGGUGCCCGGCCGUUGCGCGGGCUGAUGACGUACGGAAGCUGCCGGCGUUGCCCUCUCCCAAGAUGGCGGCCAGGUCGCCUGCUCGGGCCUCCCAGGCGACUUUGCCCCACUGCGCCCGCGCUCUCUUCUCCUUUCCAUUUCUGGACCAAGGGGCUGCCAUAAGGAGUCUGUGACUAGAGAUGGGAGGUGGUGGCCACGGCCUCUCGCUGUAUGCUGUGUGGAAGGUCGAAUCAUCAUCAUCAUAAAACUUAAUAUUGCCCUUAUGUGCCAGGAACUACUAAGACAUGGGUUGGCCAGCUGUCCUGGACACCUCGAGCACACACAGACUGCAAGCUCCAUGAAGGCAGCAGGCUGAUCUCCCUUGAUCACGGCCUUAUCGCCUGUACCUGGAACACAAGGCCUGACACAAAGCAGGCAUUCAGAAAAUAUGUGUCAAAAAUCACAAACUAUGUGCUGAGCAUGUAAGAGACAGCUCUUACAUGAUGGAAAGUUCUCAAAGGCAGACUGGAUAACGGAGGUGGCAAGGAAUUUGUGAUGAUUCCAGAUUUCUGGAUGUGGAGAGUAGAAGUUCCUGGAGGGCAGUCUGGGAAUGCCGUCAGUGCUGCUGUAUUCCCAGGGCCUGGCAUGCAGCAGGUGCUUAGUGAAUAUUCGCUGAGGGAGUGGCACGUGGGUCUAGUGCCACUUCAGCAGUGCGUUUCCUUCAGGCG